This 252-nucleotide ribosomal RNA is filed under the name uncultured bacterium. RNAcentral describes it as "partial 16S ribosomal RNA". It matches the Rfam family "Bacterial small subunit ribosomal RNA", at positions 524 to 776 of the family's 1533-position model. The record is from RNAcentral.
UACGUAGGUCCCGAGCGUUGUCCAGAUUUAUUGGGCGUAAAGCGAGCGCAGGUGGUUUAUUAAGUCUGGUGUAAAAGGCAGUGGCUCAACCAUUGUAUGCAUUGGAAACUGGUAGACUUGAGUGCAGGAGAGGAGAGUGGAAUUCCAUGUGUAGCGGUGAAAUGCGUAGAUAUAUGGAGGAACCCCGGUGGCGAAAGCGGCUCUCUGGCCUGUAACUGACACUGAGGCUCGAAAGCGUGGGGAGCAAACAGG